RNAcentral lists this ribosomal RNA (483 nucleotides) under uncultured bacterium. RNAcentral's name for it is "partial 16S ribosomal RNA". It matches the Rfam family "Bacterial small subunit ribosomal RNA", at positions 29 to 507 of the family's 1533-position model. The record is from RNAcentral.
AUUGAACGCUGGCGGCAUGCUUUACACAUGCAAGUCGAACGGCAGCGCGGGCUUCGGCCUGGCGGCGAGUGGCGAACGGGUGAGUAAUACAUCGGAACGUGCCCAGUAGUGGGGGAUAGCUCGGCGAAAGCCGGAUUAAUACCGCAUACGACCUGAGGGUGAAAGCGGGGGAUCUUCGGACCUCGCGCUAUUGGAGCGGCCGAUGGCAGAUUAGCUAGUUGGUGGGGUAAAGGCCUACCAAGGCGACGAUCUGUAGCUGGUCUGAGAGGACGACCAGCCACACGGGAACGAGGACAGGGCCCAGAUCCCUAGGGAAGCCACAGGGGGGAAAUUUGGAAAAAGGGCGGAAGGCCGAACCAAGAAAGGCGGGGGGUGGAAGAAAGGCCUUGGGGUUGAAAAGAACUUUGGGGGGGAACAAAAGGAACGGGGCAAAAACACGGUUCGAUGACGGUACCCGCAGAAUAAGCACCGGCUAACUACGUG